AGCAGCGUAAAGAUACCGGACACGUCGACGUCGUUGGUGGACAGGAGCAUGAGCCUGGAGCAGUGCGAGGCUUUGUGCCGGACGAACUGCUCCUGCAAGGCCUACGCCAGUGCCAACAUCAGUGGAAGUGAGAGCAGCAGCGGGUGCAUCAUAUGGACGACGGAGCUCACCGAUAUCAAAAUGUACGACAGUGGUUCAGGACAAGGUAUCUAUGUCAGGCCGGCGGCUGCCGACCUUGGCUCUGAAGCAAGCCAGUCUCACCGGAAUCAUGUGGUCGUGAUCAUCAUCGUAGUCUCUGCUCUGGCAACCUUUUUCCUACUUUCUGUUGCUUGCUUCGUUUGGAGAAGGAAGAAGAGAAGAAAUCGCUACAUUGACGAAGAAACACACGAACAGGACAUGGACCUACCACUAUAUGAUUUGGACACAAUAGC
Musa acuminata AAA Group (dessert banana) is the source of this 431-nucleotide long non-coding RNA. RefSeq lists it as uncharacterized. NCBI's taxonomy places the organism in Eukaryota, Viridiplantae, Streptophyta, Magnoliopsida, Zingiberales, Musaceae. The record is from RefSeq and is a predicted model, not a curated record. The transcript is spliced from 3 exons.